GAAACUGCGAAUGGCUCAUUAAAUCAGUUAUCGUUUAUUUGAUAGUACCUUACUACUUGGAUAACCGUGGUAAUUCUAGAGCUAAUACAUGCUUAAAACCCCGACUCACGGAGGGGUGUAUUUAUUAGAUUAAAAACCAAUGCCCUUCGGGGCUUUUUGGUGAUUCAUAAUAACUUCUCGAAUCGCAUGGCCUUGUGCCGGCGAUGGUUCAUUCAAAUUUCUGCCCUAUCAACUUUCGAUGGCAGGGUCUUGGCCUGCCAUGGUUACAACGGGUAACGGAGGGUUAGGGCUCGACCCCGGAGAAGGAGCCUGAGAAACGGCUACUACAUCCAAGGAAGGCAGCAGGCGCGCAAAUUACCCAAUCCCGAUACGGGGAGGUAGUGACAAUAAAUACUGAUACAGGGCUCUUUUGGGUCUUGUAAUUGGAAUGAGUACAAUUUAAAUCCCUUAACGAGGAACAAUUGGAGGGCAAGUCUGGUGCCAGCAGCCGCGGUAAUUCCAGCUCCAAUAGCGUAUAUUAAAGUUGUUGCAGUUAAAAAGCUCGUAGUUGAACCUUGGGCCUGGCUGGCCGGUCCGCCUCAC
Molecule: ribosomal RNA, 582 nt
Filed under: uncultured fungus
Lineage: Eukaryota; Fungi
Description: SSU rRNA
Rfam family: Eukaryotic small subunit ribosomal RNA
Source: RNAcentral